RNAcentral lists this transfer RNA (72 nucleotides) under Planctomycetota bacterium. RNAcentral's name for it is "Planctomycetes bacterium (marine metagenome) tRNA-Phe". It matches the Rfam family "tRNA". From Rfam's summary of the family: Transfer RNA (tRNA) molecules are approximately 80 nucleotides in length. Their secondary structure includes four short double-helical elements and three loops (D, anti-codon, and T loops). The record is from RNAcentral. Lineage: Bacteria; Pseudomonadati; Planctomycetota.
GGAUCCUUAGCUCAAUCAGUAGAGCAGCCGGCUGAAGACCGGCAGGACCGGGUGCAAAGCCUGGAGGAUCCA